UGGGGAAUAUUGGACAAUGGGGGCAACCCUGAUCCAGCAAUGCCGCGUGUGUGAAGAAGGCCCUAGGGUUGUAAAGCACUUUCAAUUGGGAAGAAAGUUCCGGGUUAAUACCCGUGGACCAUGACGGUACCUUUAGAAGAAGCACCGGCUAACUCCGUGCCAGCAGCCGCGGUAAUACGGAGGGUGCGAGCGUUAAUCGGAAUUACUGGGCGUAAAGCGCGCGUAGGCGGUUUGGUAAGUCAGAUGUGAAAGCCCCGGGCUCAACCUGGGAACUGCAUUUGAUACUGCCUGACUAGAGUAUGGUAGAGGGAAGUGGAAUUCCACAUGUAGCGGUGAAAUGCGUAGAGAUGUGGAGGAACACCAGUGGCGAAGGCGGCUUCCUGGACCAAUACUGACGCUGAGGUGCGAAAGCGUGGGGAG
This 420-nucleotide ribosomal RNA is filed under the name uncultured bacterium. Its description in RNAcentral is "bacterial SSU rRNA". It matches the Rfam family "Bacterial small subunit ribosomal RNA", at positions 355 to 768 of the family's 1533-position model. The record is from RNAcentral.